UCGUCAUGUGUGCCUUGAUUUCUUUCUUUCUGCCCAGCAUUAGGAUACCUAAAUAACCAAGUUUGAUCAAGGUGAGACUUCUCUUACAUUUAUAUUAACUAAACUUAUGUAAGUAGUGAGCCACUCUUCAAGAUUCCUUGCGCACAGAAAGAACUUAGAUUAACAAUAGAAAAUAAGAUUGAUGCCAAGGACUAUUGCCCUCUCCAAAAUCCAUGAAAAGCAAGAUACAAAGAGAGAUAUAUGAUGCCCACAUUGACUUGGAAAAAGAUGCAAUGCCAAUUAUAUUCUAGACGGAAUGUCACUGAUGAAUGUUUUCCAUUACCCCACCUAGUGAUUCUUGCAGAUCAUUCUGUCCUAGGGAGGACAUGGUGUGAUUGUUCUGCUUCUUUUAUAAACAUGCAAGAUGUAUACUUAUGGGGUCCCAUUCUGGAGCAUUUAUAUUCUUCUUAGAACAUAUUGAGAUGCACCACUUUUCCUAUCAUGGUUACAUAGAUGCCAUGAAGCUAGUGCCUCAGUUGCUUAUCAGAUCUCAAGUUGAUUGGAUGAGGCAUUCUGUUUGUAAGAAGAAGUCCUUUUACUUUCGGAACAAUUUAUAGAAAUAAGAUCCCAUUUUUGAAGGACAGGUAGACUUAGCAAAACUUGUCCAUUGAUGGUAAGGAGAUAAGCGAAAGAACUUAUUGCCCUUUUAGCCAUUUCAUAAUUUUAUCUUCGACUUGACCUUUAAACAUGUUAUGUAAUUGGACCUAACACAUCAAGAAUACUACUAAUUUUUUUCCCCUAAACAAUAGAGUCUUCUGAAUUCUGUUAAGCACUUGCUCAAACUACUAUAUUUUCAGAUUUAGAACUCAAUCCAAAUCUUUCCUAGUAGCUGUAGCUGAGAUGCAAGAUGUGAUCAAAAAAACUUAUUUUGAUAAUAUAAGGAUCCAGCUUUUCAUAUACUCUAUGAUGUUUAAGCAGAACAAUGUGCAAGCAAUCACCAGAAAUAAACAUAAGAGGAUAUAAACAUGUGGUCAAAUAAAAGAUUGUAUAUAUAGCCAACUGAUUUAGCUAACUGGCUAUUUGUAUAGCAUGGUCUCAAUUUUUGGUUACCAAAAUAUCAGAUACGGUCACUACAUUUGAGCAGGAGGGUCAUAACUAAAAUAGGACUUGAUGCUUCAUGUCCUAUACCACGGGAUAAAAGGCAAAUAAGGUGAGCAUCUCUUGGGGAAAAAAUGUUGAAAUAGAUGGAUGUUAAAUUGUAGAAUAACAUGAAUUGUGUGCACUGUUGGAUAUGUAGAUUUAUCUAUUAAGGAACACUGUUUGAGUAUCUGCAUAAAUAGUUCCAAGGCGCAUAAGAAAAAAUUGAAAAUAGCAUGGUAAGAAGAGGAGCAAAGACAAUUUUGAAGGAUCACGAGCACUUGGGCGGAUAGCAUCAUUCUUGCCAUUUGGGCAAGAAGUCAGGAGUUUAAUUCUGGUUGGAGUCAGCCCCAGGGCAGUAUGGGGUAGAAAAAGUAGGGAGUUAGCCUCUACAAGUCUCAGGAAAAAAAGGUAUAAAUAGUCAUGCAACUAAGCAAAAAUAAAUGGAAGGCUCCAACAAUGUAAAUGAUAAAAAUGAAUAUCUUUUCUCUCUCAAAAAGAAAAAAUAUAAAUAGAUGUAUAAGAUAUGGUCUAAAGUUUGUGUCUCCCAGAUAUUGCUUCUUGACCAUGAAAUUCUAGUCUCCAUACCCUUAUCCUGACUUCCUAGGAAGCCCUUCAAUGUUUCUCUAGCUGUUUUUUUUCCUUUUUCUUUUUCUUCUUGUGAAGUUUUCUUGUUGUUUUCUUAUGACUAAAAAGGGAAAAUUUCUCUAGCUGCUUAUUUUGAGUAGAAGCACAUAAUUAGUGAGAUACAAAGAUAAUCACAUAAAUAGAAAGAGAAACCAAUGAAGGUGUCAUACCUGUGGUUCUAAUUCUGCAGUCUUCCAUUUUCUGUAGGCAGACAAGGAGCUUUAGGCAAUGUGAGAGGCUAUUGCCGUCAAUCUAGAAUUACCUCCUCAAGAAUGGAUUUGAAGUGAAGACUUUCUUGGUGCAAUGCUGGGAGUUAUGCAAGGAGUGGUUCACAAAUUCGUUACAGUUGUGUUAUUCUUAUGUUAGUUGCAUUGGAUGUUUGUAUGAACUCUGGAGUUUUUUUUUAACUAAAUCUAAAUCCCUAGGAUUCUAUAUACCCUAUGAUUUUCCAAAUGUAACUGCUCCGCUUUAUGAUCUUAUAAUACUAGAGUAUGGCAUCCAUGAUACAUGUGGUUUCGCAUAUGCAGAGACAUGCACUCCAACUAGGGAGCUUGCAGAACUGUGACCUUCUGUAUUUAGUUGUUGCGAAACCUAAUAUAUCUGUGGCUUCACUAAUGAGGUGGAGGUCUCUGAGAUGGGAAUUAUCGAUCGUGUUGCAACUGCCUCUAAGCAAAACAAAGGAGAUUGAAAGCUUAUAUGAUAUGCUGCACUCAGUGCAUCCUGAAGGUGUGAGGAACAAACCCAUUAUGGAGAUGCAAGCAGACCGAACAUACCCAAUGAGAUCCUUUUAUCAUUUCAUUGGCAGUGGUAGUGCUCUCUGCCCAUAGUAUGGUGCCAUGUGGGAAGUGCAUGCACCUGAAAAAAUCAAAACCUCUUGUUGGUUGGCGUUCAAAAAUUGAUUGCAGUAGAUGUUCUGACAAGCAAGGGAUGGCAGGUUUCUU
This 2684-nucleotide long non-coding RNA is filed under the name Elaeis guineensis (African oil palm). Its description in RNAcentral is "long non-coding RNA (EGUI_LNC077260)". Lineage: Eukaryota; Viridiplantae; Streptophyta; Magnoliopsida; Arecales; Arecaceae. The record is from RNAcentral.